RNAcentral lists this ribosomal RNA (533 nucleotides) under uncultured bacterium. RNAcentral's name for it is "bacterial SSU rRNA". It matches the Rfam family "Bacterial small subunit ribosomal RNA", at positions 384 to 917 of the family's 1533-position model. The record is from RNAcentral.
CUACGCGCAUNCCGCGUGNGGGAUGACGGCCUUCGGGUUGNAAACCACUGUCGGGAGGAACGAAUACACNACGUAAGUCGUGGGUGACGGUACCUCCAAAGGAAGCACCGGCUAACUCCGUGCCAGCAGCCGCGGUAAUACGGAGGGUGCGAGCGUUGUCCGGAAUCACUGGGCGUAAAGGGCGCGUAGGUGGCCCGUUAAGUGGCUGGUGAAAUCCCGCGGCUCAACUGCGGGGCUGCCGGUCAGACUGGCGAGCUAGAGCACGGUAGGGGCAGAUGGAAUUCCCGGUGUAGCGGUGGAAUGCGUAGAGAUCGGGAAGAAUACCAGUGGCGAAGGCGUUCUGCUGGGCCGUUGCUGACACUGAGGCGCGACAGCGUGGGGAGCAAACAGGAUUAGAUACCCUGGUAGUCCACGCCGUAAACGAUGGACACUAGACGUCGGGGGGAGCGACCCUCCCGGUGUCGUCGCUAACGCAGUAAGUGUCCCGCCUGGGGAGUACGGCCGCAAGGCUGAAACUCAAAAGAAUUGACGGA